RNAcentral lists this unclassified non-coding RNA (293 nucleotides) under uncultured Conocybe. RNAcentral's name for it is "sequence contains ITS2". The stretch from base 1 to 52 matches the Rfam family "5.8S ribosomal RNA", at positions 103 to 154 of the family's 154-position model. Lineage: Eukaryota; Fungi; Basidiomycota; Agaricomycetes; Agaricales; Bolbitiaceae. The record is from RNAcentral.
AACGCACCUUGCGCUCCUUGGUAUUCCGAGGAGCAUGCCUGUUUGAGUGUCAUUUAAUUCUCAAUCUCUACAAACUUGUGUUGUUAGCAGAUUGGAGGUGGGGGUUUUGUGGGUGUAUCCAUUAUAUCCACUCCCCUGAAAAUCAUUAGCUGGAAUGCCUUUGCAAAACCAACUAUCAGUAUGAUAAUUAUCUACUCUGAUGUUGUUGUGAAGGGAAUCUGCUUUCAAACCGUCGUUCCGACACUUUGAAUCCAUAUGACCUCAAAUCAGGUAGGACUACCCGCUGAACUUAA